GCAAGUCGAGCGCACCUUCGGGUGAGCGGCGGACGGGUUAGUAACGCGUGGGAACGUACCCUUUUCUACGGAAUAGCCUCGGGAAACUGAGAGUAAUACCGUAUACGCCCUUUUGGGGAAAGAUUUAUCGGAGAAGGAUCGGCCCGCGUUUGAUUAGAUAGUUGGUGGGGUAAUGGCCUACCAAGUCUACGAUCAAUAGCUGGUUUGAGAGGAUGAUC
This 218-nucleotide ribosomal RNA is filed under the name uncultured bacterium. RNAcentral's name for it is "partial 16S ribosomal RNA". It matches the Rfam family "Bacterial small subunit ribosomal RNA", at positions 57 to 305 of the family's 1533-position model. The record is from RNAcentral.